GAUUAAAUGGCUGAAGUUUAGGCGAUAGAUUGUAAAUCUAUUUAUGAGAGUUAUUCUCUUUAAUCA
This 66-nucleotide transfer RNA is filed under the name Agria mihalyii. RNAcentral describes it as "tRNA-Tyr". It matches the Rfam family "tRNA". From Rfam's summary of the family: Transfer RNA (tRNA) molecules are approximately 80 nucleotides in length. Their secondary structure includes four short double-helical elements and three loops (D, anti-codon, and T loops). Lineage: Eukaryota; Metazoa; Arthropoda; Insecta; Diptera; Sarcophagidae. The record is from RNAcentral.